AGUGAACGCUGGCGGUAGGCCUAACACAUGCAAGUCGAACGGCAGCACAGUAAGAGCUUGCUCUUACGGGUGGCGAGUGGCGGACGGGUGAGGAAUACAUCGGAAUCUACUUUUUCGUGGGGGAUAACGUAGGGAAACUUACGCUAAUACCGCAUACGACCUACGGGUGAAAGCAGGGGAUCUUCGGACCUUGCGCGAUUGAAUGAGCCGAUGUCGGAUUAGCUAGUUGGCGGGGUAAAGGCCCACCAAGGCGACGAUCCGUAGCUGGUCUGAGAGGAUGAUCAGCCACACUGAACUGAGACACGGUCCAGACUCCUACGGGAGGAAGCAGUGGGGAAUAUUGGACAAUGGGCGCAAGCCUGAUCCAGCCAUACCGCGUGGGUGAAGAAGGCCUUCGGGUUGUAAAGCCCUUUUGUUGGGAAAGAAAAGCAGCAGGUUAAUACCCCGCUGUUCUGACGGUACCCAAAGAAUAAGCACCGGCUAACUUCGUG
Molecule: ribosomal RNA, 491 nt
Filed under: uncultured bacterium
Lineage: Bacteria
Description: partial 16S ribosomal RNA
Rfam family: Bacterial small subunit ribosomal RNA
Source: RNAcentral